This 253-nucleotide ribosomal RNA is filed under the name uncultured bacterium. RNAcentral describes it as "partial 16S ribosomal RNA". It matches the Rfam family "Bacterial small subunit ribosomal RNA", at positions 524 to 776 of the family's 1533-position model. The record is from RNAcentral.
GACAGAGGGUGCAAACGUUGUUCGGAAUUACUGGGCGUAAAGCGAGUGUAGGCGGUCUGAAAAGUCGGGUGUGAAAGCCCUGGGCUCAACCCAGGAAGUGCACUCGAAACUGCCAGGCUAGAGUAUCGGAGAGGUUGGUGGAAUUCUCGGUGUAGAGGUGAAAUUCGUAGAUAUCGAGAGGAACACCGGUGGCGAAGGCGGCCAACUGGACGAAUACUGACGCUGAGACUCGAAAGCGUGGGGAGCGAACAGG